GCAGUGGAGUGCAGUCUGUUGUUGGCUCACCUCCACAUCAGAAGGAAAAUGAAUUGAAGCGUCGAAGCAGUUCAUCAUCACUUGCCCAAGAUAUACAAAUUUCUCACAAGAGGCGUUGUGAGUCCGAAAAUAUACCAUCACUAGAUGAUCU
This 151-nucleotide small RNA is filed under the name Arabidopsis thaliana (thale cress). RNAcentral's name for it is "ATSL234230". The record is from RNAcentral. Lineage: Eukaryota; Viridiplantae; Streptophyta; Magnoliopsida; Brassicales; Brassicaceae.